CUUCCCUCCUCUCUUUAUCGGCUCCCUCCCUUUUGUUUCUCAGCUUCUGUCUCCUUUUUACUUCUCCUCCUCCACUCCUAAUCUCCCCCCUUCUUUCCCUCUUUUUCCUCCCUCUUCUUUCUCAUUCCCUUCUCCUCUCUGUUUGUCCCUCUGUCUCUCCAUCUUUCCCAGACAGGCUCUACAGGUCACUAGUUGAGGCUUCUUGGUUCCUCUGACAUCAGCCAAUCAGUCAUGUUUAGAGUGGGCAUUCCCUGGUGUAAGGUCCGCCCCCCCACUGACCAUACAAGGUAACAGUGGAAUGCAUGGCUUGGCAGUCCGUCUGCUUCAUAAGAGAGACACAGAGAGCAGAGGGUGUCCCACACUGAUGAGCAGUCCUAUUACCGUCUGAUUUGAAUUGCAGCUUAUUGUGGGAACACUGAAGCUUCAGAAGAGUGCCAGUGGGCAAACCUGCUCCUCAACUCAUCACUAUUGCAAGAUCAGCCUUUUAGCAGACAGCCAACUCAUUUCACCCAGGAAAACCAAGUAAGCUGCCUGGGGAGAUGACAAGCCUUGAGAAAGCACAUCAGUCCAGCAGCGAAGCAGUGAAGCAGCCUGCCAGCUGCUGUAGAUGUUCCUAGCAACACCUCAGCUGCCCUGCAGCAGAGGACUCAAUAAGGACACUGCAGUGUGUAUUCAUGCUCCGAGACAGAUGACGGAGAAGGACAAUCUCGAGGUGUGCAAGAAACAGACCAGGUCUUGCGGUUGAGAUAAUGGAGAUCAAAGAUGGAGCUCCAACAGUUUACACUUGGGAUGUCAGAGAUGAGCAAGUACAGAGGUGAGUAACACACACACACACACACACACACACACACACACACACACGUGGAAUGUGAGAGGGAGCAGCAGCAUGACAGGAAGUUGGUAUUAUAUAGGUCUACUGGGGGUUAAAAUCAUUUCCUGUUUACCCCUCCCCAACAAAAAUGUUUGUGCUGUGCACUCUAUCCCUCUCUCUCUCUCUCUCACACACACACACACACACACACACACACACACACACACACACACACACACUUAUUCACAUGCUAUUUUUCUCUCGCGCUGCUUUCACUGGUGUUUCAGACAUGUGAGUAGAAAGACUUUGUUAAAAUGUCUUAGCUGUAAUUGAAGACUGUCUUCAUUUGGUCAUUGUGUAUGUUUUCUUUUUUUUUUUUUUAAAGAAACAGAAAUACAACAAACCUGAUUUUACCUAUGCGCUCAUACAAACAUUAUACUGAUGGAGACACAUGCCAGUUCAUACAGUAAGCGAUUACUAAUUAUGUAAUGGGUUCAUAAACCCAGUCCAUUUCCAACAGUAUUGCCAGUAUCUAUUAAUCCGUAGAUUUAGUGAACAAGUCAUUCUCUCCAUACUUUGAACAGCAUUGUGCAUGUUUUAUUCAGCUUUCAUGAAUUCUUUCCACGUUUCCUCCUCUGUCUUUAGAAUAGACCCCUGUCCUUCAUGAUGCUGAGAGAAAUGUGUUUAUUCUGAUGUCAUCAUGUCUCAUCAUCAUGCGGCAAAUAUCACUUGCAUCACUCUGAUGCUAGCUUUAACAGGGAAUGGAGCUCAUUCUGAUUCCUAUCAGCUAGUGUUGGCUCACCUGAGUGUCUGUGGUUUUUUCUUUUGUAUACUAUUUCUUUGUCAACUGUAAAGACAGUUUAUAUGAUGUAAUGUUAAAUCAGAAUAGAAAUCUAUGCAGAAGAUGCAAUAACAGGUUUGGUAAAAACUAAUUUCUCAAUACUGAGUUCAUUUAUUUAUUUAUUCAGCACAAAAGAACUUGCAAAAUGCAGCCUCUGACCACAUCUUUUAAUAUUCAUGAGGUUUUCUCACUCAAAGUCAAACACCUCCAAACCUCUAUUUACUGUACAUUUUGCUCAUCUUUACGUACUGUUGUAAAAUCUGUUAAAUGUACAAUCCAUUCAAUAAAGAAGUGCCCUUCUUUUUGUUGAAAUGGAAACACCGUUUGUGCCAAAUAGAUGAAUGAAUAAGAGAUACUUCAAAGACAAUAGCGAUUCAUAUUUUAAUGCUACCAGCUGUUAGUGUUGUUUCAGAUCAUCGUUCGGCACUCUGUUACUGUUACGAGUCAAAUUUUGUCAGCGUUCUGGGACAAGAGUUGAUCCUGAGAUGUGUACGAAGGGUUCAGUGCAUUUUGGAUGUUAGAUUAACUGCGUAUUGGUAAAGAGAACUGUGUGAACUCAUUACAGAGAGAAAUGUGUUAACGUUAGUGAAGAAAAACCAUAACCUAUAAGAUGGUUUCUAAACUGACUGACUGUGCUCUGUUUGCCUCAUCCCUGUGUUUCUCCAGUUGAGUUAUUCAUCCCUGUGGCCCAUGGUGCAGUGCUGCAUCUCUGGUCAGUUGGUAGUCUGAGAUGAAGCACUGUAGCUCGGGACGGAGGACAGAAAUACCAGUGGGAGCAUGUAUCCACAGCCAGGUAACAGCACCCAGCAGCAGCAGGUCUCCGGGGCUCUGGUUUGCUUCACACAGGGAGGAUGAUAUGACCCAGGAUGCAACACUGCAAUCACAAACACCUUGUGGGUCACGGUCAGGAGUUUAGAGGAGACUGGACCAUCUCCCAAAGUUCAUAGGGAUAAUCAAUUAAUUUAGAGGACAUAAAAAACAAGUUGUAGAAUUCAUCCCAAAAUGAGGAUUAGGGACACAUUUGAAUAGUCACACCUUUGCUUGCUAUAUACUGUAUAAUAAAAUAUUUUGUUAUUGUAUUUCUAACUAAUUUUAUAAAUGACUUAAUGUAAGAAUGUCUCACUCAUUUCUAUUAAGAUCUAGUAUCAAAUGUAACAUUAAAAAUGUCAGAUUAAUGAAGUUGACCACAUGUUGGAAAUUAUUUGACGUGUGUCCGCCAAAUUCCAUGAUGUAUGUGUUUAGACAUGGCACCAUCGGCAGAAAAAAAAAAAAAAAAAAAAAAAAAGACGUUUUCAAAUCUUCUAAUACGGAAACCACAGCUCGACUUCUGCACAUGAGGAAUGGGUACCCCCCCGUUCCAGUGGUGUGAUGAUGGAUGGAUGACAUCACCCGUUUUUCUUCUCCUCUCUCCUGGGGUCCAGUUUUCCCAGGAAUCCCUUGACCUAUCAGAAAGGGGGAUUCCUGGAAAUACUGUUCUUGGGGGUGGGGCUUAUCAGCUAUUCCAUUUACAGUAUUUACCAUCAUUCUGUGUGGUGUGUGCAAUAAUGGUGUACGUUUUUAUAGAAUCAGUUUUGACUGCAUUUAGUGUUUAGACACGAGAGGAACCCGUUAUUCACUAUCGUUUCAAUCCCGUUCAAAGUCACGUCAUGUUCCUGUUUAUGACAUUUGAAGGCUCUGAUUACUGCUCAUUCUGUUUAAUAAACAUUCAAAACAAAGAA
This is a long non-coding RNA of Perca flavescens (yellow perch), 3370 nucleotides long. RefSeq lists it as uncharacterized. The record is from RefSeq and is a predicted model, not a curated record. Lineage: Eukaryota; Metazoa; Chordata; Actinopteri; Perciformes; Percidae. The transcript is spliced from 4 exons.